This 1638-nucleotide ribosomal RNA is filed under the name Meloidogyne sp. MS3. RNAcentral describes it as "SSU rRNA". It matches the Rfam family "Eukaryotic small subunit ribosomal RNA". The record is from RNAcentral. Lineage: Eukaryota; Metazoa; Nematoda; Chromadorea; Rhabditida; Meloidogynidae.
UAAGUUUAAUCGUUUAUCGAGAAACCGCGAACGGCUCAUUACAAUGGCCAUGAUUUACUUGAUCUUGAUUAUCUAAAUGGAUAACUGUGGAAAAGCUAGAGCUAAUACAUGCACUARAGCUUUGUCCUUACGGAAAAGCGCAUUUAUUAGAACAAAACCACGCGGCUUCGGCUGCUUCUUGUUGACUCAGAAUAACUAAGCUGACCGCAUGGCCUUGUGCCGGCGGCGUGUCUUUCAAGCGUCCACUUUAUCAACUUGACGGGAGCAUAAUCGACUCCCGUGGUGGUGACGGAUAACGGAGGAUCAGGGUUCGACUCCGGAGAAGGGGCCUGAGAAAUGGCCACUACGUCUAAGGAUGGCAGCAGGCGCGCAAAUUACCCACUCUCGGCUCGAGGAGGUAGUGACGAGAAAUAACGAGACUGUUCUCUUUGAGGCCGGUCAUCGGAAUGGGUACAAUUUAAACCCUUUAACGAGUAUCAAGCAGAGGGCAAGUCUGGUGCCAGCAGCCGCGGUAAUUCCAGCUCUGCUAAUACAUAGAAUUAUUGCUGCGGUUAAAAAGCUCGUAGUUGGAUUCGUAUCGGUACCUUGGAACCCUUCGGGUGUCUCUAGGUGUUAUCGAUUUAUCGUAAUGUUCGGUUUUGAGUCCUUAACAGGAUUCUUAACAGGCAUUGCAAGUUUACUUUGAACAAAUCAGAGUGCUUCAAACAGGCGUUUUCGCUUGAAUGAUCGUGCAUGGAAUAAUAGAAAAUGAUUUCGGUUCAGUUUUAUUGGUUUUACGGACUGAGAUAAUGGUUAACAGAGACAAACGGGGGCAUUUGUAUGGUCCCGUGAGAGGUGAAAUUCUUGGACCGUGGCCAGACAAACUACAGCGAAAGCAUUUGCCAAGAAUGUUUUUAUUAAUCAAGAACGAAAGUCAGAGGUUCGAAGGCGAUCAGAUACCGCCCUAGUUCUGACCGUAAACGAUGCCAACUAGCGAUCCGCUGAUGGAAAUUAUAUUGCCUUGGUGGGGAGCUUCCCGGAAACGAAAGUCUUCCGGUUCCGGGGGAAGUAUGGUUGCAAAGCUGAAACUUAAAGGAAUUGACGGAAGGGCACCACCAGGAGUGGAGCCUGCGGCUUAAUUUGACUCAACACGGGGAAACUCACCCGGCCCGGACACUGUGAGGAUUGACAGAUUGAUAGCUUUUUCAUGAUUCAGUGGAUGGUGGUGCAUGGCCGUUCUUAGUUCGUGGAGUGAUUUGUCUGGUUUAUUCCGAUAACGAGCGAGACUCUAACCUACUAAAUAGUUGGUACAUACUCUUUGUGUAUACAGCUUCUUAGAGGGAUUUGCGGCGUUCAGCCGAAAGAAAUUGAGCAAUAACAGGUCUGUGAUGCCCUUAGAUGUCCGGGGCUGCACGCGCGCUACACUGGCAAAAUCAACGUGCUUGUCCUACCCCGAAAGGGGCGGGUAAACCAUUGAAAAUUUGCCGUGAUUGGGAUCGGAAAUUGCAAUUAUUUUCCGUGAACGAGGAAUUCCAAGUAAGUGCGAGUCAUCAGCUCGCGUUGAUUACGUCCCUGCCCUUUGUACACACCGCCCGUCGCUGCCCGGGACUGAGCCAUUUCGAGAAAUUUGGGGACCGUUGAUUUAAUUUUUCUAAAUUA